Molecule: ribosomal RNA, 425 nt
Filed under: uncultured bacterium
Lineage: Bacteria
Description: bacterial SSU rRNA
Rfam family: Bacterial small subunit ribosomal RNA
Source: RNAcentral
GUGGGGAAUCUUGCGCAAUGGGGGAAACCCUGACGCAGCGACGCCGCGUGGAGGAUGAAGGUCUUCGGGUUGUAAACUCCUUUUCUUGGGGAAAAUGGUGAUGGUACCCAAGGAAUAAGCCACGGCUAACUCUGUGCCAGCAGCCGCGGUAAGACAGAGGUGGCGAGCGUUGUUCGGAAUUACUGGGCUUAAAGGGCGAGUAGGCGUCCCGGUAAGUCAGAUGUGGAAUCUUUUCGCUUAACGAAAAAAUUGCAUCUGAAACUAUCGGGAUUGAGUCAGUGAGGGGAGGGCGGAAUUCCUGGUGUAGCGGUGAAAUGCGUAGAUAUCAGGAGGAAGGCCUGUGGCGAAGGCGGCCCUCUGGCACUGUACUGACGCUGAGGCGCGAAAGCGUGGGGAGCAAACAGGAUUAGAAACCCUAGUAGUCC